GACGAACGCUGGCGGCGUGCUUAACACAUGCAAGUCGAACGAUGAAGCCUAGCUUGCUAGGUGGAUUAGUGGCGAACGGGUGAGUAAUACGUGAGUAACCUACCUUUAACUCUGGGAUAAGCCUGGGAAACUGGGUCUAAUACCGGAUACGACCAAUCUCCGCAUGGGGUGUUGGUGGAAAGCGUUAUGUAGUGGUUAUAGAUGGGCUCACGGCCUAUCAGCUUGUUGGUGGGGUAACGGCUCACCAAGGCGACGACGGGUAGCCGGCCUGAGAGGGUGACCGGUCACAUUGGGACUGAGAUACGGCCCAGACUCCUACGGGAGGCAGCAGUGGGGAAUAUUGCACAAUGGGCGAAAGCCUGAUGCAGCGACGCCGCGUGAGGGAUGGAGGCCUUCGGGUUGUAAACCUCUUUCGCUCAUGGUCAAGCCGCAGCUUUGGGUUGUGGUGAGGGUAGUGGGUAAAGAAGCGCCGGCUAACUACGUGCCAGCAGCCGCGGUAAUACGUAGGGCGCGAGCGUUGUCCGGAAUUAUUGGGCGUAAAGGGCUUGUAGGCGGUUGGUCGCGUCUGCCGUGAAAUCCUCUGGCUUAACUGGGGGCGUGCGGUGGGUACGGGCUGACUUGAGUGCGGUAGGGGAGACUGGAACUCCUGGUGUAGCGGUGGAAUGCGCAGAUAUCAGGAAGAACACCGGUGGCGAAGGCGGGUCUCUGGGCCGUUACUGACGCUGAGGAGCGAAAGCGUGGGGAGCGAANNGG
RNAcentral lists this ribosomal RNA (753 nucleotides) under Rothia mucilaginosa. RNAcentral describes it as "bacterial SSU rRNA". It matches the Rfam family "Bacterial small subunit ribosomal RNA", at positions 28 to 776 of the family's 1533-position model. Lineage: Bacteria; Bacillati; Actinomycetota; Actinomycetes; Micrococcales; Micrococcaceae. The record is from RNAcentral.